ACCUCUCCCUGGUUCGGGCCCUUGGGCAUUGCCAGAAUGCACAGAUGGUUAGUCCACCUUGUUUGGAAAAAAUCUAUUUUGACUGUAAAAUUUGCAAUUCCAUAGUUAAUUUCCAUUAAUUUUUUGCAGUUGAUCUGCAAAAAUAGCUAUCAAGUAGUCUAGUCUGGUAAUUAUUGCCCUAAAAUGUAUAUUUCUCUGUGAAUUCACAACAGUUGAUGGUUUCUUGAAUUGACCUGUUUGGUUUAUUUACUGAAUGCCAAAUAACAGCGAAUGAAAAAUUGAAUUGCAGAAUUUGGGUAAAACAGUAAAAUAUCCAAUUCAGCAAUAAUCACAGAUUGGCUAUAAUAGCCUGAAUAUUGUAAUCUGUAUUACAGUUUGCUUCUACAUCAAUACCCAUUGAGUAUUAUAUUCACCUUGGAUUAUAGAAUGACAAUGUUACAAACCAUUCUUCGCAAAGAUAAGAAAAGAUGUUUAUAAUUAUGAUUCACAGGUCUGUUAUCCAAAAAGAAAUUCUUUGCAACAAUGUCUAUCACUCAAUAGAAUCGUUUUCAUCUGUGCCUAUUGUUUGCUAUUGGAGCACACACUAGGUUUAUAUAAAUGAUCUGUGCCGAAGGUCAAUUAAGAGCAAAUUAUACUUUUUCUGAUAUAUUUAUUUUUAAAUAUUAUGUUUAAUUAAUUAAAUAGUCGUGAGGAAAAACAGGUGCUAAAAAAUAAGUAAGGUUAAAAAAAACGAAAUUUUGUUAAUUUCACAAAAUCUCACACUAGGAUAAACCAUUUAUCUAAAUGUAAUAACGGAAAUUUAGCACAUUAUUUGAAUUAUAGGAACAAUCAAAUAUGUGAUAGUGCCCUAGUCACCAUUGCCAGGGUUAAAAAGGUGAACUUACUUACCUUUUUCCCUUGUAUCGCGUGUCACUCUAACUCUUUAGAUGAGAUUAUCGAGAUUAAUGAUCUCAGCCAAUCCAAUGCUUUCCCAUAGGAAACAUUGGAAGGCUAGAGUGCUGAAUGAUAUACAACACCAUCUGAUUGAUAUAGUGGGGUAUUACUGCACUAUUUCAGUGGGAUCACUUCUAGUGGCUUUCAGUGGCCUCAUUGAGAUGAAGUGGUAUGAGUGCCUAUAGUGUUCCUUUAGCCAAUGAGUAUACAUGAAUCUUUUACAUGUGCAUAUAAACUGCCAACGUACCUUCAUAAAAUGAUGCUCUAUGUACUAUAACCAAAAUAAUUUAUUAUAAUGACUAUGGUGAAGUCAAGGAUUCACAGCCUGUCAUUGCUAUCCCAAUUUGCAGAGGAAGUUACACUCUUAAUUAUCUUUUUUGCGGUAGAGGGGCUUGGUAGCUUUGGGAACUGAGAAUGGCCAUUCCUUGUUAAAAUUGCUUGAAAACAGUUUGAUAAAAACUGCUGAAGCUAAAGACUCCAUGUGCCAUAGAAACAUAGAAUGUGUCGGCAGAUAAGAACCAUUCGGCCCAUCUAGUCUGCCCAAUUUUCUAAAUACUUUCAUUAGUCCCUGGCCUUAACUUAUAGUUAGGAUAGCCUCAUGCCUAUCCCACGCAUGCUUAAACUCCCUCACUGUGUUAAGCUCUACCACUUCAGCUGGAAGGCUAUUCCAUGCAUCCACUACCCUCUCAGUAAAGUAAUACUUCCUGAUAUUAUUUUUAAACCUUUGUCCCUCUAAUUUAAGACUAUGUCCUCUUGUUGUGGUAGUUUUUCUUCUUUUAAAUAUAGUCUCCUCCUUUACUGUGUUGAUUCCCUUUAGCCUGUACAAUAAGCUGUAGAAGUUAAGGAGCUUUAAAUACAGCCUUGUAAUCAUGUUAAAAAUGAAUCUUAAUCAACUGUUUGUAAAUCUCUAGGUGCUGGGUCGUGGAGGAUACAAGUUUCAAAACUGGGCCCAAACAUAUGGUUCUAGCCCAGAGCUUUACUUUCAACCCACAUCUGCAGAGGAAAUUAAAGAGGUAAGUGACAAUUAAUUGAUUAUAUUACUGUAUAAAAUAUAUACUUUCAGUCGAAAUCAUAUCCCAUUGGAAUAGAAACCUUGAAGUUGAUAGGUACCUUAGCCCCCCUCCAACCUCCCGCUCCCCUUACCCUCCUGAAUACAAUACAAUGUUAUUUUAAUUCCAGUCUACUGGUGCUGGCUUUGCCCCUGAUCUGCCCACUUGGCUUACAUCAUCAGAAGUGGUGGUCUGAGCCAAUCACAAUGCUUCCCCAUAGGUGCGGCUGAGACUGUCAAGGAGGCAGAUCAUGGGCAGAGUCAGCACAAAUCAAACACAACCUUGGCCAAUCAUCAUCACCUCAUUGAGAUAUAUUGAAGCAAUGCAUCUCUAUAAGGAAAGUUCAGCGUCUCCAUGCAGAGGGUGGAGACGCUGAAUGUCAGUCACACUGUGCAGCACUGCCCCAGGAAGCACCUCUAGCAGCCAUCUUAAGGAGUGUCUAGUGGAGGUAUCCCUACGCUGUAGUAUAAAUACUGCAUUUUCUCUGAAAAAACUGUGUUUACUGCAAAAAGCCUGAAGGGACUGAUUAUAUUCACCAGAACAAAUACAAUAAACUGUAGUGUUUCUGGUGACUAUAGUGUCCCUUUAACCCCUUAAGGACCAAACUUCUGGAAUAAAAGGGAAUCAUGACAUGUCCUUAAGGGGUUAAAUAAAUAACUCCUAUGUGUUAAGAAUGUAAACUGAGAAUCCAGGAUUGAGAUUCCAGAAAUAUUUUCUCUAAUCUCUGGAACAACACUCUAUCACUUAUUUUCUUCUCUCAGCCCACAGUGAGGAAAUCAAAUAGUGUUUUUGCAACUUUUAGAGGCCUUUUCGUUCUCCUUAUUAUUUAGCUUAUUGUCUGUGGUUACCUGCAAGGGUAAUGACCCAUUGUGUGCUGCUUGUCUCAUUGUGUCUGUUAUCACCAGCUCUAUUUUAUCUCUGGUUUGGGUUUAGGCAAAAUCCACCACUGAAUGCAAUAUUCAUAUAGACAGGUCAAUAACCAAUAUGUGGUAUAUUCAUCAUUACCUACUAUGUGAACAACAGGUUAGACAUGUAAAAUUUGUUUCGUUCCGAAUGUAAAUUUGUACGGAUUUCGUGCUAUUCAAACAUUCAGAUGCUUACCAAUGUCCGAAGUGCCGAAGUCCCGAAGCGCCGAAGUGAUUCAGAUUUCUGAAAAGGGGCAAAACAAGAGAGAGGGAGGGAAAAUUACGUGAAUGAUGACAGGAAUCUUGACCAAUAAGCUAAUUCCUUUUGUGCAAUGUAAUGCUUGCUUGCUCAAUCCUGUUUCACUAUUCCCUGUCAAAGUAAAUGAGCAAUAGACAUGUGCAAUUAGUUCCGUUCCAAAUGUACAUUCAUACGAAUUUCAUGCCAUUCGGAUGCUUACGAAUGUCCGAAGUGCCGAAGUGCCGAAGUGAUGAGGUUCGGCAGUUGCGAAGUGCUUGAACCGAGCCAAAUGCCAUUGGCCUGAAUUGCUGAAGCAGACACAUUUUUUUACUUACCCGAAUUUCCGAAUUUUUUACCCAUGCACAUCCUUACAACAGGCCCCGAAAACUCAUCUUUACCUGAUACCAUAGGAUUCUGCUGUUUUAUUUUGAUGAACUUGUAAAAUUCAUUUAGUUUUGUAAAUCACCAUGAGUGUUAACAUAAAAUAAAAUGGGCCACCCAUUAUGAAAUUGGGCCACCCAUUAUGAAAUUCUGUCCUUAGCAUCUUCCUUUCUGUUCCCAGAUACUGGAUCUAGCUCGUCAGAGAAGUAAAAGGGUGAAAGUUGUGGGAGGUGGACACUCUCCUUCGAAUAUUGCCUGCUCUGAUGAUUUCAUGGUUCGAUUGGAUAAAAUGAACCGGAUUCUGAAGGUAGGUUAA
RNAcentral lists this long non-coding RNA (3822 nucleotides) under Pelobates cultripes (western spadefoot toad). Lineage: Eukaryota; Metazoa; Chordata; Amphibia; Anura; Pelobatidae. The record is from RNAcentral.